AUCGAACGCUGGCGGCAGGCUUAACACAUGCAAGUCGAGCGAGCGGCGGACGGGUGAGUAAUGUCUGGGAACCUGCCCGAUGGAGGGGGAUAACUACUGGAAAAGGUAGCUAAUACCGCCUACCAUCACUUGUGCCCAGAUGGGAUUAGCUAUUAGGUGGGGUAAUGGCUCCCCUAGGCGACGAUCCCUAGCUGGUCUGAGAGGAUGACCGGCCACACUGGAACUGAGACACGGUCCAGACUCCUACGGGAGGCAGCAGUGGGGAAUAUUGCACAAUGGGCGCAAUCCUGAUGCAGCCAUGCCGCGGGUGUGAAGAAGGCCUUCGGGUUGUAAAGCACUUUCAGCGAGGAGGCGUUACUCGCAGAAGAAGCACCGGCUAACUCCGUGCCAGCAGCCGCGGUAAUAC
Molecule: ribosomal RNA, 406 nt
Filed under: uncultured bacterium
Lineage: Bacteria
Description: partial 16S ribosomal RNA
Rfam family: Bacterial small subunit ribosomal RNA
Source: RNAcentral